UGUCCGGAUUUACUGGGUGUAAAGGGUGCGUAGGCGGCUUUGCAAGUCAGAUGUGAAAUCUAUGGGCUCAACCCAUAGCCUGCAUUUGAGACUGCAGAGCUUGAGUGAAGUAGAGGCAGGCGGAAUUCCCCGUGUAGCGGUGAAAUGCGUAGAGAUGGGGAGGAACACCAGUGGCGAAGGCGGCCUGCUGGGCUUUAACUGACGCUGAGGCACGAAAGCGUGGGUAGCAAACAGGAUUAGAUACCCUGGUAGUCCACGCUGUAAACGAUGAUUACCAGGUGUG
Molecule: ribosomal RNA, 283 nt
Filed under: uncultured bacterium
Lineage: Bacteria
Description: partial 16S ribosomal RNA
Rfam family: Bacterial small subunit ribosomal RNA
Source: RNAcentral